UACGGAGGGUGCGAGCGUUAUCCGGAAUUACUGGGUUUAAAGGGUGCGUAGGCGGCCUAAUAAGUCAGAGGUGAAAUUUUCCAGCUUAACUGGAGCACUGCCUUUGAAACUGUUAGGCUUGAAUUAAGUUGAGGUCAGCGGAAUGUGACAUGUAGCGGUGAAAUGCAUAGAUAUGUCAUAGAACAUCGAUUGCGAAGGCAGCUGGCUAGGCUUAUAUUGACGCUGAGGCACGAAAGCGUGGGGAGCGAACAGG
RNAcentral lists this ribosomal RNA (253 nucleotides) under uncultured bacterium. Its description in RNAcentral is "partial 16S ribosomal RNA". It matches the Rfam family "Bacterial small subunit ribosomal RNA", at positions 524 to 776 of the family's 1533-position model. The record is from RNAcentral.